UGGGGAAUAUUGCACAAUGGGGGAAACCCGUGAUGCAGCAACGCCGCGUGAGUGAAGAAGUAUUUCGGUAUGUAAAGCUCUAUCAGCAGGGAAGAAAAAAGACGGUACCUGACUAAGAAGCCCCGGCUAACUACGUGCC
This 139-nucleotide ribosomal RNA is filed under the name uncultured bacterium. RNAcentral's name for it is "partial 16S ribosomal RNA". It matches the Rfam family "Bacterial small subunit ribosomal RNA", at positions 355 to 509 of the family's 1533-position model. The record is from RNAcentral.